CCAGUAGCAUACGCUUGUCUCAAAAGAUUAAGCCAUGCAUGUCUAAGUAUAAAUAACUCUAUACUGUGAAACUGCGAAUGGCUCAUUAUAUCAGUUAUAGUUUAUUUGAUAGUCCUUACUACUUGGAUAACCGUAGUAACUCUAGAGCUAAUACAUGCGUCAAGUCCCGACUGCUGCAAGGCGGAAAGGAUGUAUUUAUUAGAUCCAACCAACCCGGCGGGGCAACUCGCCGGUACCUGGUGAAUCAUGAUAACUGAGCGAAUCGCAUGGCCUUGUGCCGGCGAUGGUUCAUUCAAGUUUCUGCCCUAUCAGCUUUCGAUGGUAGGGUAUUGGCCUACCAUGGCAUUAACGGGUAACGGAGAAUUAGGGUUCGAUUCCGGAGAGGGAGCCUGAGAAACGGCUACCACAUCCAAGGAAGGCAGCAGGCGCGUAAAUUACCCAAUCCUGACACAGGGGAGGUAGUGACAAUAAAUAUCAAUACGGGGCCAUUGGCUUCGUAAUUGGAAUGAGU
Molecule: ribosomal RNA, 511 nt
Filed under: uncultured eukaryote
Lineage: Eukaryota
Description: SSU rRNA
Rfam family: Eukaryotic small subunit ribosomal RNA
Source: RNAcentral